CACAUGCUUUGGAGGCACACAGAGGACCACAGAGGCAGAGCCUCAUUUCCAGCAGGACCGUCCUCUGCCCGGUGCUAGGGAUUCCAUGGUGUCAUUCAAGAGUGCUGUGACAUUUUUUAUUUUUUUCUUUGGUAUCUAGGAAUCUGCGACUUCCCACUCUUCCUUCUCAUUCUCUGUCCACUCUUUAAGGCCUGGCUGGAGCCCUUCCCCUUCACGAAGCCCCUUUUGUCCACUCCAGCCCACACAGUCUCCCCAGUCCAUUGACAACACAGAGCACUUUUUUUGCAGCCCAUAUUCAUUUAGCCUUUAUUAUGCUCUGUUUAGGCGUCACUCUGUUUUACUCUCUAAGAGUUCCCUAGGCAUUCUUUUUCUUUCAGCAAGAUGAUAAACUUCUUGAGGACAAGGCCUUCUGCCCCGCCACCCCCCUCCUGACCUGGGGGGAUAAAUGAAGGGUUUUGGUAGCAAUCAGGGAAGCUGGCCUACUUGCUCCCUGCCUGCAUAUGUAAUGGUAGCUGAUGGUUCAAUAUUAAUGGAUACUGAAUAAGCCUGGCACCUGCUGGAGACAGCGAUGACAUUUGCUCUCACAGCAGAUGACAGGGUGACGGCAGGCAUCUCUGGGUGGAAGCGAUGAGUUCUCCAGGGGUGAUGCAGGGGUUAGACUGGGUGCUUAGGGCCCUCAAGGGGCCUCAAGGGAAUGUAGAGAAGCCUCAGGCAACCCAGGGUCAGGGGUGAGGGGACCGACCAGGAAGAGAAAAGUCCGCUCAGAAAGGGUGUAGGCUCGGACACUGUAGGAGACAGAUCCAAGAGGCUUCCUAAGUCAGACCUCUUGUCUAAAUUGGAUGGGCUGAGAGCUCUGGAGUCACUGCUUUGCAUAUGAGAUCAUGGAGACAUAGAAUCCGUCAUUAUCCCUGCCAGCUCAGCUCAGAGGACAGAACUGAGGAGGGAAGUGGUCAGGUUCAGGGUACAGGGAGAGAAGGUAGGACGUCCCCUCCAGGGCCUGGAGCUGGGGCCCACAGCCAGGCUCUGGCAUGCCUGAAAACAGGGCACAUCCCAGGUCGUCGGUAAAGACAGGUGGGAUUGAACUCAACAAUGAGGGAUUAAUAGAUUACUCUUAAAAUUGUCUUAUGGUUUAAGGAGGGAACAGAACAGAGUAGGAAGUAGGGGAGAGGAACUCAUGUGAUUUUAGCCAGGGCUUGGUUUAAGCUGUUGUGCUUCUUCUCUUGUGAUACUAGUUUGAGCCAAGGGCAGCAGGGGCUGCUCCUGGUGAGAGGACGUGGGCAGGGAUCCCAUCAGAGACAAGCCAGGCAGACACUGUCCAGAGAGUCCUCUCAGGAGGCCAGGACAGCCAGCUGCUUCUCCUUAGGGAGGAGGCCUUUGCUCCACCCUCCAUUCCUCCUCCCCUAGGCCUCUCUCCCUUUCUCCCUGUGAGAUCUUCUGCUACUCCAGCCACAGGAGGUAUAGAUCCAUUCCCAGAACAAAAACUGUCUGACUGCUCCUGAAACACUUUUUCUCCUAUGCACUACUGGCUCAUCCUCAUGCCUCCAGCUCAGCUUAGACAUCCCUCUUGAAAAGGUCUUCUCUGAGAUCCUGUGGCUCCUGGGCCCACGCCCAAGGCUGCCCCGUCACACUGGUCCCCGUAUUUUCUUCACAGCACUUAUCAUUGUCUGAAUUUAUCUCAUCCAUCUCUUCUCUUUGUUGGGUAUCUCUCUUGCUUCCUUAGAAAGGAAGCUCCAUGCAGGGUUGUGGUCAUUCUCUACCAUGUUGUGCCCCAGCUUCUAGAACAGGGCCCACAUUGACAGUGGCCAGUGAGUAUUUGUUGAAUGGAUGAGUGGGUGGAUGACAGCACAUGGGAAGGCACCAAGUCUCAAGUGAGGUGGGAUUGGAGUGGGGUCCUAGCAAACCUCCUUCUCUCUCAUCCAGGACAGAAUAGAGCUGUCCUGUGGGGGAGCUGCUCAGUGGGGAGAGGGCCUGUUGGGCCCUGGUAGAAAAUCCAUUCUGGGCCUGGGCCGGCCACUGCUUGCCCCCUGACAGCUGGUAUGCUAAGCGACCUGUGAAAUGGGAUGCAACACCAGUUUCAUUUGAGCCUGAACCCCCAGAGGCAGGGAGAAGAAGAACCAAAAAUGUGUAGUCCUGCUCCCCUACCCAGGCACAGGCCUGCUGCCCUCGAGGGCCAGACAGUGCAGAGGGGACUCUGAGAGUGGAGGAGAGAGAGGUGUGGUCCCCGACCUCUGAUGGAGUGGGAAGUGUGGUGCUGUGCACAGUGAACCUAUGGGGUUUACUAGACAGUGGCCAGUCUAGCAAUGGGCAGCAGGGAGAGAGCAGGGUUUCCAGACAGGCCUUUAGUUAGGUGCCCAGGCACAGGCAGGGCUGUCACACCUGUCUGCCCUGGCCCCUGAGCGUUUUGGGGGUUUUGGAUGGAGGCUCACCCUGACCCCUUUCCAGCUUUAGCAUGAGAGUCCCAGCCCCAUUUUCUUUCCUAGCUAACUGCACCAUCACUGCCACAUCAGAGCCCCCAACACAAUGAGGAGUUAAAGGAAGAGAGGCUACCUUGAGAUCCCCCUCUACCCGCCAGCCCACAGGGUUCCCCCACCUCAGAGUUCAGGAAAUAUUGGUAAAUGGAGGCAGGAGUGGGGUAGGGAUCCUCGGGGAAGAUCUUAAGAACUUCACCAUGGAAUUAGCUGAUGACACCGGUGUCUUCUAAGGGGUGCCUACCAUUUUUCUACACUUGCUAGGGAGCUUGUAUCUUUAUAAGAGAGAAAAUUUCUGGGCUUGGGAAAGAGGAACCCCAAGCCGACACUGGUCUGAGUGGGAAAAUUUGGGGCUGAAGUCCUUCCCGUGAAACUGUGUCUGCUGGGCAAUGCUGAGCAAAGUUCCACAAAGGAGAGAAAGGGUGGAGGAGGGCAGAUUGCCCUUCACCUACCUCUGCCUCUUCUUUGCCUGCCCAGCCUUAGCUGGGCCCCACACCACUAAUGGAAUUUCCAUCCUCAUCCCAUAGCAUCCCCAAAGAACAUUCCAGUCUGAGCCUCAAGGAACCUCUGGGACUUGGUGUCUAGAUCCAGGAAAUGGAGAAUGAGCCGUGACUUUGGAUGCUUCACCCUUGCCCAUCAGGCUCGGAAUUGGGUAGCCCGGCUCUGCAGGGACAGUCACGGAGCUGAAAAACUGCUGCCUAAUGAAGCUGUUUUCUUCUACCACUGGCUCACCCUCAAAUUAUUUCCUGAGCGAACUCAAGAACCUUCCUGGGCUAAGCCCCAAUUUUGGGGCUCGCCUGCCCUUGUAUCACAGCUUCCUCUUCUGUUCACAGCUGCAACCGCCUACUCAACCUUCUGAGGUUCCUCUCCCUGCCCCUCCACAGUGGCUGCUGAUGGGAGCUCUGGCUCCCUGCGUUUUCACUAUCUCCCAGUCAAGUGCAGAGUCCUGUGCAAUUUAAAUGCUUCUCAGCUAAGAACAGAGAAGGGGAUAGCAUAAGGAUAUUCAAAAGAUUCAAGAAAUCUCAAAAGUGAUCACAAAACAUUUGUCUCUGACCAACCAGAAACAUCGAUGGGUGAGAAGGGCAUUUCCUCUAGCUGAAUUCUUCAUGGGUCUUCAGGCUCUGUCUUCACUUUGGAUUUUCUGGAGUCUCCUGAAGGUUACCUGAAAUCUUGUUGGUCCUGAAUAUUGUAUGUGGAGUCACAAGCUGCAAGAAGUCAGUGGGGCUGGAUGGGAGCCAAAAUCAGAGAAGUCAAGCAGCACAGCUGGGCCCCAUUGAAAGUGAGGCCAGCUGUCCCAGUUGGAAGCUGGGAUGGAGAGCUGGGGAUGGGUGGAAGUAGUGACAGGGUCCGUGUAUUGGUCAUUCAGACUCCCCAGCAGCCUCAGGACUCGACUUCCAUAGGUCAGAGAAGACCUGGUGGAGGGCCUUAUGCAAACCUCAGUGGGUGAUGCAGGAGGGAGUUUUCUGAGCAGGAAUGCCAACAAAAAAGGGCUUCAAAGGAGGGCCCUGCUUGGGACAAUCCUGCCUCUUUAUGGUCUGGUUCACAGGUUCCCCUGGGUGGGGUAAUGGAAUCCAAGCUAAGGUGUCUGACUUCAAAAGUUUUCAGAAAUGCCAUUUUUGUAAGGAUCAGGGAUUGGGUUUUCUGAGAGGCAAAACAUCCUUGUUAAGGGGUUAAAGUAUCCUUAAGCUGUUCAGGUUUCUGGGGAUAGAUAGGCUUAGGAAGUUAGAGCAGGUGAAGUUGAGGGAGAUGGGAACUAAGAAUUAACUCAAAAUAGUCACCAAUGCAGAAACCCAGGCACUUGAGACCCUGACAGUGGGGAAGGCAGAGGAGUAACUGUGGGGACUUGGGCACCCUAUUAGCAGAAUGGGGUAACAGAGAGGGCAAGAAUUGCUUCCCAGGAGACUGGGCUGGGAACAGGAAGGGGACUAAAAUGCUGUCCCUGGCUGAAGAGUGUGGAGGUAUACAGGAGCUGGUGGCAGGGCUCUGAAUCCAUACACAAGAGCAAGGACCUGUGGUUUCAGGGUGGGAUAGGGCUUUGAUGUCUUCAUGGACUUAGAGUAACAUUCACCACCAUGGUGAAUUCCACAAAGGAGAAUUCACACAAAGGUCUCGGACCAGUCAGUUUCCAUGUGAAAAAGCCAUCUGGGAGCAAGGGAAAAAAUCCAGGAAUACAACUGUAUUGGGGGAAAUUCAGCCAGAUAUCAGGCAAAUUUCACCCCCGAUAUUUCACGUAGGUUCUUUUCUAUGUUCCCUAAGUGUCCGCCAGUCUGAGAAAUAAAGGGACAGAGUACAAAAGGGAGAAAUUUUAAAGCCGGGUGUCUGGGGGAGACAUCACAUGUCGGCAGGUUCCGUGAUGCCCCCUGAGCCGUAAAACCAGCAAGUUUUUAUUAGUGAUUUUCAAAAGGGGAGGGAGUAUAUGAAUAGGGUGUGGGUCACAGAAAUCACAUGCUUCACAAGGUAAUAAGAUAUCACAAGGUAAAUGGAGGCAGGGCGAGAUCACAGGACCACAGGACCGGGGCGAAAUUAAAAUUGCUAAUGAAGUUUUGGGCACGCAUUGUCAUUGAUAACAUCUUACCAGGAGACAGGGUUUGAGAGCAGACAACCGGUCUGACCAAAAUUUAUUAGGCGGGAAUUUCCUCAUCCUAAUAAGCCUGGGAGCGCUAUGGGAGACUGGGGCUUAUUUCACCCCUACAGCUUCGACCAUAAAAGACGGCUGCCCCCUGAAGCGGCCAUUUCAGAGGCCUACCCUCAGGGACUCAUUCUCUUUCUCAGGGAUGUUCCUUGUUGAGCAAAAUAAUUUAGUGAUAUUUCUCCCAUUUGCUUUUGAAAGAAGAGAAAUAUGGCUCUGUUCUGCCCGGCUCAUCGGCAGUCAGAGUUUAAGGUUAUCUCUCUUGCUCUCUGAACAUUGCUGUUAUCCUGUUCUUUUUUCAAGGCUCCCAGAUUUCAUAUUGUUCAAACACACAUGCUCUACAAACAAUCUGUGCAGUUAACGCAAUCAUCACAGGGUCCUGAGGUGAGAUACAUCCUCCUCAGCUUACAAAGAUGACGGGAUUAAGAGAUUAAAGUAAAGACAGGCAUAGGAAAUCACAAGGGUAUUGAUUGGGGAAGUGAUAAGUGUCCAUGAAAUCUUCACAACUUAUGUUCAGAGAUUGCAGUAAAGACAGGCGUAAGAAAUUAUCAAAGUAUUAAUUUGGGGAACCAAUAAAUGUCCAUGAAAUCUUCACAACUCCACAAUUAUUCUGCCAUGGCUCCAGCCGGCCCCUCCAUUCGGGGUUCCUGACUUCCUGCAACACAACUGGAGGGAAAGGUGGCCUGACAUUAUGGCUAAGUUGAUAUGGAAGCAUUCUGGUUUGUUCUAGAAAAAAUGAAAGAGGUAGUGCAGGUAAUCAUCAGCUCCUGGGUUCUGUAGCAAGGCAUUUGCUGCAAUCCCAGGAGGUAGCAACCUAGGCUUUGGUUCUGAAAGAAGAGGGUCUACCUUCCUGAAUCAUCUUUAGAAGUCUGCUGGGGGCCAGGCUUGGUAAGUUGGACUCUGUAUGGAAUUUUUAUUUAAGUGAGGUCUGGGUAGGAAAAGAGAAGGGAAAAGGUGACCUGACCCUGCCUGCACCAAGGGAUUCUGGGAAGGAGAAUAAAGAGAAAAACCCUUCUUCAGGUUUCUGCUUCAGAGCAGGAGAACCAUCACAAGCUAAGUAAAGUUAAUGAAGGGUAAGUGGCCCUAUGGCCACCUGGGCACGCACCUGCCCCUUGGCCACCUUGCAUGGGCAGGCUGAAGAGGUCACUAAGGCUUGGUUUUCCUGACCUGCCCUGAUUCCAUGUGCUGUAAGCAGGACCCAGAAGGCUGUGUGGCUACAGAGGUGCCCAGCAUGGUGGGGGUCACUUCAGUGUGGACACUAGACUGGAUCGCGUGGAACUACAACCAGCUCAGAGCGCCAGCCAGAGUGCUGUUCCGGCCAGAAGGAGGAGCCACGACCCACACUCAGAAGGACAGUGAGCCCCUCUCUGCAGACAGGAGCCAGCCACACCUGGGGUCUGGGGAGGCUCUUCCUGAUUCCAAAUGGAACUGAACUUUAAACCAGACUGGGCAUUUGAGCAAUUUUUUAAAAGCUGUCAACCAAAUAAAGGAAUGCCAUAUUCUUUACCCAGUCA
This 6611-nucleotide long non-coding RNA is filed under the name Pongo abelii (Sumatran orangutan). RNAcentral's name for it is "lincRNA". Lineage: Eukaryota; Metazoa; Chordata; Mammalia; Primates; Hominidae. The record is from RNAcentral.